This 253-nucleotide ribosomal RNA is filed under the name uncultured bacterium. Its description in RNAcentral is "partial 16S ribosomal RNA". It matches the Rfam family "Bacterial small subunit ribosomal RNA", at positions 524 to 776 of the family's 1533-position model. The record is from RNAcentral.
UACGUAGGGGGCAAGCGUUGUCCGGAUUCAUUGGGCGUAAAGAGCGUGUAGGCGGCCAGGUAGGUCAGCUGUGAAAACUCGAGGCUCAACCUCGAGAUGUCGGCUGAAACCAUCUGGCUAGAGUCCGGAAGAGGAGAAUGGAAUUCCCGGUGUAGCGGUGAAAUGCGCAGAUAUCGGGAAGAACACCCGUGGCGAAGGCGGUUCUCUGGGACGGUACUGACGCUGAGACGCGAAAGCGUGGGGAGCGAACAGG